ACGCGACCCCAGGUCACGCGGGACGACCCGCUGAGUUUAAGCAUAUCAAUAAGCGGAGG
RNAcentral lists this ribosomal RNA (59 nucleotides) under Senega hygrophila. RNAcentral's name for it is "Polygala hygrophila partial 26S ribosomal RNA". The record is from RNAcentral. Lineage: Eukaryota; Viridiplantae; Streptophyta; Magnoliopsida; Fabales; Polygalaceae.